This 627-nucleotide ribosomal RNA is filed under the name uncultured bacterium. Its description in RNAcentral is "bacterial SSU rRNA". It matches the Rfam family "Bacterial small subunit ribosomal RNA", at positions 224 to 842 of the family's 1533-position model. The record is from RNAcentral.
GAUGGGCCCGCGGCGCAUUAGCUAGUUGGUAGGGUAAAGGCUUACCAAGGCAAUGAUGCGUAGCCGAAUUGAGAGGUUGAUCGGCCACAUUGGGACUGAGACACGGCCCAAACUCCUACGGGAGGCAGCAGUAGGGAAUCUUCCACAAUGGGCGAAAGCCUGAUGGAGCAACGCCGCGUGGGUGAAGAAGGUCUUCGGAUCGUAAAACCCUGUUGUUAGAGAAGAAAGUGCGUGAGAGUAACUGUUCACGUUUCGACGGUAUCUAACCAGAAAGCCACGGCUAACUACGUGCCAGCAGCCGCGGUAAUACGUAGGUGGCAAGCGUUAUCCGGAUUUAUUGGGCGUAAAGGGAACGCAGGCGGUCUUUUAAGUCUGAUGUGAAAGCCUUCGGCUUAACCGGAGUAGUGCAUUGGAAACUGGGAGACUUGAGUGCAGAAGAGGAGAGUGGAACUCCAUGUGUAGCGGUGAAAUGCGUAGAUAUAUGGAAGAACACCAGUGGCGAAAGCGGCUCUCUGGUCUGUAACUGACGCUGAGGUUCGAAAGCGUGGGUAGCAAACAGGAUUAGAUACCCUGGUAGUCCACGCCGUAAACGAUGAAUGCUAAGUGUUGGAGGGUUUCCGCCCUUCA